RNAcentral lists this long non-coding RNA (2357 nucleotides) under Xyrichtys novacula (pearly razorfish). The record is from RNAcentral. Lineage: Eukaryota; Metazoa; Chordata; Actinopteri; Labriformes; Labridae.
CAGUGGGAGAGGACUCAAAAACUCCUGAGAGAAGUCAUUGUACUCAAAUGUGUUUUUAUCAGUUAGUUUCUACAAGUUAUAGUUCACAUCUACGUCUUUAGCUGAGUGAUGGUUUGUGAAGUCACAACAAAAACCCUCCUUCAGACCAGGAGGGUCCAUGUUGGAGAACUUCCUGAAAACCUGGUUUCCUUAAUGAAGGUAAAACUCACUGAAAAUCCACACAACUCAUUCAUCUGGGGGGAAAUUAGCUGUUAGCAUGCUCUCUGUCUGGAUUGAAAACUUAGUAUUUAAACUCACACCGGCUUCAUUUUACUAGAGAUUAUGUUAUCCAGUAUGAUUAUGUUAACUCAGAAACUCAGAGCUACUCAAGUAGGCCUACAACAAGCUUAGACAGAAUCCAAGAUGGCUGCUCCCUUUGUAAGUAGUAGCAAAGCAGUACCUCUAAAAGUGUUUGUGAACAACUUAGUCUUAUUUUGAGUAAUUUAAUCAAUCAGACACAAAUAGUAUUCUUCAGGUUUUAUCCAGGGACAUGCUGUUGUGUUGCUUUAACCUUCAAACUGUGUUUAAGUGUGUUUUUAUUAGCUAGACUUGGCUAACAGUGCUAACAGCAACAGGAGCUAGCCAAAAAGCUAAACAGUUGAAUGUGGUUAAACAAAAGCAGAGUGACCAUACGUCCUCUUUUACCUGGACAUGUUUUCUUUUUGGGGAGCUGUCUGGCUUUGUCGGGGGAAGUUUAUAAAAUCCUUCAAAUGUUCAAGGUUUUGUACGUAAGUUUCGAUUUUGUGUCACGUGGACUUACUGAGUUAGCGUAAAAGACACUCGAUCUGACCCGAAAAAAAAAAAACUCUUAAAAUUAACUACGCGUGACUCCGCCCCUGUGUAGUCGUGUCGUCUUUUUGGGAAGUCAGAAUAUGUUCACCCUAAAAAAAGUUAAGUGAGCCGCAAAAUAUGUAAAGUGUUUACUGGAUACAUUUCUGUUUUAUCAUUUUUGAGAUGUGGUUUUUAAUUUGAUAUUUUUCUUGAUCGUUCUCUGACGAGUUACUUUAGCGCCAAAACAAACCCUCUUUGUUUAGGUUCAAUUAGGCUGACACUUGACUGGAAAAACACCAAGCGUAUCUCUGAUUUAAAACAUCUUUACUAUUCAUGAUCGAUGAGAAGAUUAAAACUGAGACUGAGCACCAACAACAAGUCAGCCGCCUUCAAACGCUGUACGAGACUUGAGCAAAGUAUGGAUCCAGAGUCCAUCAGAGUUCCGGACUCGGACCUGCAGCCAGUGUGUCACUGAACAAAUGUUUUAAUGCUUUUUAUCAGAUUAGUGCACUCACAGAGCAGCAGGCCGGUCGAUGAUCCACUCGGCCUGAUGGGUAAUAGCAUUAUCCUGUGUGGGCCGGGAUUGGCAGACACCAGCGGACAGACCUAUCUUACCAUUGAUCGACUUUUCCCUUCAGGGCCGCUCUGAUGCUCGCCUCCAUCCGCUGUUUCAUUUGUUUAUGAAAUAUUGAUAUUGGCUGCUAUCUGCUCUCAGAGACGAGGAGGUUCAGCCUGAUGGACGGAGGGCGUGUGUCGGAUACUGGAAGAGGUUUCAUUUGAGGUUGAAAGUUUUUCUUUAUCAUGGGGAAAUGUAAUCAGUUUAUUAUUUCUGCAAUUAAAUCACGAUUUAUUCUUUAAUUUGUCAUUUGAUAACAAGCUCUGUGAGGCUGCAGUAUGAAGCAACAGCGAAAAGAGGGAAAUAUCUGUGCAGGUUUUUAAUACAUCUCAAGGAAAUGGCAAAAAUAAUCAAUUUAAACAGUUUGAAUCUCAUUUUCUACAUUUUUUCUGUCUUUCAAAGCUUCAACAUGUAUAAAAAAGCCUUAAAUGUCUAACUGAAUACAUAUUUCCUUGUGAAAAAGGCUCCAAAUGAUUAAUUUUUACACACAUUAUUGAACAAAAAGGUACAAACCUGCAGAUCAUUCCUUCGAUUAGUCCUGUCUACUAGAAAUCAUGAUUUGCUUUUCGGAUGUGUUUGUUAAUAGCGCCCUCUGUCUGCAAACCCCCUCUGGUACCAUUUUUUUCAUCAGAUUUCACUCUUUCCCUCAGAAAACCUAACUCUAACCUUCACUCGACCGCUAAACAAGCAAACUGGGGCUCCUGCGGCAUCAGAUGGAUCAUCUCGUCAGUAAACAGAAGCUCCAGUCUUCCCAUAAUGACAGUCAGGAUUGACGGGCUACCUCAGCUAAAGCCUUUCAUGCAGGAGAAGAGCCUCCUGGAUCAAUAGCUGUUACCUCGGCAAAGCCCACACAACCACUAAUGAAUCCUCUGGCUCACAAAACCCACUGCUGCUCCCGUUUAAGUCCACAUGAGAGAAAUGCUUCACACAU